RNAcentral lists this unclassified non-coding RNA (168 nucleotides) under soil metagenome. RNAcentral describes it as "partial internal transcribed spacer 1". The record is from RNAcentral.
CAGGACUCGCAAGACUCCCGUAAACCACUGUGAACUUACCUACAACCCGUUGCCUCGGCGGGUGCUCCGGGCGCGUCUUCGGGCGCUCCGGGGCGCUCCAGCCCGCCGGCGGCCCCUAAACUCUGUCUCUGUAGCGUUGGCACCUCCGAGCAGACUAUAAACGAGUCA